RNAcentral lists this ribosomal RNA (650 nucleotides) under uncultured bacterium. RNAcentral's name for it is "bacterial SSU rRNA". It matches the Rfam family "Bacterial small subunit ribosomal RNA", at positions 97 to 728 of the family's 1533-position model. The record is from RNAcentral.
GGCGAACGGGAGCGUAAAACGUGAGCAACCUACCCUUUGGUGGGGGACAGCCGGUCUAACGGCCGGAUAAUGCCGCGUAAGACGUUGAGAUCGCAUGGUUUCGACGUGAAAGGGGCCGCAAGGUCGCGCCACAGGAGGGGCUCGCGGCCUAUCAGCUUCUUGGUGAGGUAACGAGCUCACCAAGGCUGCGACGGGUAGCUGGUCUCAGAGGAUGGCCAGCCACAUUGCGACUGAGAUACGGCCCAGACUCCUACGGGAGGCAGCAGUACGGAAUAUUGCGCAAUGGCCGCAAGGCUGACGCAGCCACGCCGCGUGUGGGAUGAAGGCCUUCGGGUUGUAAAUCACUGUCAGGGGGGACGAAUACUCGGCCUCGAAUAGAGGACCGAGGGUGUCGAGUACCCCCAAAGGAAGCACCGGCUAACUCCGUGCCAGCAGCCGCGGUUAGACGGAGGGUGCAAGCGUUGUCCGGAAUUACUGGGCGUAAAGCGCGCGUAGGCGGCUGUUUAAGUCAUCAUGUGAAAGCCCGGGGCUCAACCCCGGGAUUGCAGGCGAAACAGGACAGCUAGAGCUCGGUAGAGGCGAGUGGAAUUCCCGGUGUAGCGGUGGCAUGCGUAGAUAUCGGGAAGAACACCAGUGCCGAAGGCGGCUCG